RNAcentral lists this long non-coding RNA (1083 nucleotides) under Dermacentor andersoni. RNAcentral describes it as "uncharacterized LOC126547760". Lineage: Eukaryota; Metazoa; Arthropoda; Arachnida; Ixodida; Ixodidae. The record is from RNAcentral.
CCGCCGUGGUCGCUUGGUUUCGCGCGCUAUCUCAAAGAGUGUUCAAUGGAGUGUUUUCAGAGUUGGGCGAGCGUAGCCGGUCUGCGUUUCAAUCGAAGAAGAAGCACAUGGUUGUCCAAGGAGAUCACUCAGAUAAACAAAGAACAACAUGCAUACUACAGUCCCUCCUGAGCUGGAAUGCCGCAGGGAACUUCAGCUGGUUUGGUGCAAAGGGAAAAAAAUUUGCCAAGCUGCAUCUGUGCAAGCUAAUGUAUGCGUCAUCGCAAGCAGCUGAACCCUCCAACCCAUCAACAGCUAUUGACUGAUUUUGUAAUUAAUACCCAAAACCGUUCAUCCCACCAACCCCUGUGUAAGCAGCUGCAUCUUUUCCUCAGGUGGCACGUAGAAGGAAGUUCCGUUCCUGUGAUCACAUUGACCAACUUUCAGCAUGGGAGUCCCAGUUGUCAAUAGAAAAUGGCAACCAAGUACUCCAGGGUGAAAAUCAAGUGUUUCCAGUUGAAAUGGUGGGCCUGCUGGUCAAACAUAGCUCCAGGACCUACAACAGUCCUUUGUGGUAGGCCAGCCUCAGUUCAGUUGUAAUUUUAAUCAGUAACUUUUGAAAGCACCACAAAUCAGUUGUGUGUGUGUAUUGUGAGAAAUUGUUCUAUAGGCUAAUGUGAAGAGUGCUAUAGUUUUGGCAGCCAUUAUUUAGGCAAGAUAAGUCUUCCAAAACAUCGGUUAUGGGAAAGAUUUAUUCAUAAAAGAGCAUUAUGAAUGCACCUUUGCUACCUUUUAAACGUACAAUUCUGUCCAGGACUUGGCCUGUUCUUUCUCUGCAAUGUUAGCUCUAUCUGAAAAUCAAGUGUGCUACAUACAUGAUGCUCUUAAAAAAAGCUAAUCAGUCCCUGUACCCUUUUAAGAACAUUUUAAUUACCAUUUUAGCUGAAACAAUUUCAUUUUUGUUGCAUUGAUAAUUAAGAUGUGUGUGAGUUUUCUGUAAACAUGUUGUAUUUACUAGGAACCCAUUGUAUUAGUCGUAGUCAUGGCAACAUAUUCAUCAGAUUUGUAUUUAUUAAAUAAACUGCAUUUUUACUGCUCCCUUAA